GGGCAGAUCUCUUUUGGAGAUUGCUCCUCUUGGAGUCUUCUCAGCAAGCCCAGGACAAGGGAUAUGCUUGGCAUAGCUAGCCUGAGAUUGCUAUUGGCUCAGCUGUGACAGAGCGCCAAGCAGGGCCCAGGAAGGCAGCAUCAGUGAGGAGGGCCUGAGCACGUCAGAACUCUCCACAAGCACUAUGCUCCCUGGGAAUGCUUGUUAAAGGGGAGAAGUACUUCUGUCUGCAUCUAGUGAAGUCAGCCCUGAAGUAGAUGAAAUGCUAAACUGCUCUGGCCAGAGAUUACGCAUCCUGAUGCUCCCAGGGAAAAUAUGUGUAAGUGUAAUCCCAUGAAUCCCAAGAGAAGACGUUGACUAAGAGACCAGAGAAGUCACUUGCUGUCCAAUCUCAUUUAAAACAGUGAGAGAAUUUCAUUCAACUGUAAUUGUGCCUCAAAUUGUUGUUGAAACAUUUGCUUCAGAAACAUUUCAAAGGUAUAUUCCUGUCAAAUAUUUGGAAGGAGUAAUUUAUAUGUAAUUUGAACAGCGGGCAGUUCUGCCAGCUUCAGAUGUCUUGAAACAUUACUGUUAAAGUGUACAUCACUAUAAAAAUAAAAAACACUAUGUAUAUUCCAUUUUUUAACCUGGUGUUGCUGUUAUCUGUGUAACAACAACAACAAAAAAAACUGUCUUUCUUUUCUUACUGAACUGCACAGAAUAAAUGCUGAUAAUCUUAAUACAUUUUUGAUCCAUUUAGGGCAACUGUGGUCUUAGGUGAUUGUAUUUUGGCAAAGGUGAUUUUACUCAUGUUUAUCUUAUGUUGUCCACGAGCUCAUACACUUGAUCAGUUACCAUGAAUUCAUUCUCUAAACUCCAUUCUUGGUUGAACCUAAUGUUUCAGCCAGGUCUCACACUUCCCAGACAAAAUCCUGGAUUGUCAAUGUCAUUAAGAAAUACAUAUGUUUUUGCUGGUGGUGAUAGGUGCAACUGUAAUGAAUGUUAGACAAGUUUUGAUAGAGAACCAACUAUUAUCCAACCUUUCUCAAAAGAGUGAUAAUAAACACAGUACUGAAACGAAACAAUUUAUCAAACAGUAACUAUGCCUCUCAAGGGAACAAGCCCUAUUUCAUAUUAUCCCAACUAAUUCCACACAUACACGUUUACAUUAGAAACACGCAAGAUAUUUUUUAGGUAAUCACUCUUUAUAUGUAUUCAUGAGACUUUAGCCAGAUAACUAAACCUGUACUCAUAAUGAGCUACACAUUCACACAAUUAAACAUUAGUUGUAUCACCACUGAUUUAAUAAGGAAAUAUAUGUUCUAGACAGUUGCAGUGACUAGAAGCUUAUAGCAGAAAUAACUGAAAAAUUUCAGCGUCUGUCACUAUCAUGGUGGAACAUUUACUUAGGGGCUGUGUUCAAAGAAUCUGAUGUAUUAAUGAGAGAAUUUUCAGACAUUAAUUUUCAGACUAAAAUGUAAGAAAAAUGGAAAUGAAAAUUUGAGAAUGAAGAUUUGUAGGUUGUACUCCAACAGUACUCUUAGGUUUGAUGUUUUGGAGCAGGGCUUAUGUAUGCUGUUUCUUAGUACUCUCAAAAUAGCAGGAAAAAAACUUCAUAUUGUAUUUUAGUCUAGAAAUGAAAGUUAAGAAAUAUUUUCAAGUCAUUGCACUGCAGCUUGAAGACAUUGAUGCCUUAGUCUUGCAGCUGUGUACUUUGCAAAGGUAUUGAUUUGCAGUAUUGAUUUUACUUCCAGAAAAAAAUAAUUGUACUUCUGGUAGAAAGCAGAGUUUGGCAUUCAUAAGUGCACUACAUUUUCAUAUAUACAUACCAAGGGAGGGGAUCUCUGGUUAUAGAAGUCAAUUCUAUUCUAGCCAUCUGUCAUCCAACUUACAAACAUUUCUAAUGUGUAUUGCAAAAUCAAAAGUUAAGUAGUAUAUUGCACUUAAUUUUAAAAACUCAUUGAGAACAAAAUAGUGAUGACUAUCUGAAUAGCUUUGUAAUUUUUUUCUUACAUAAGUUACAAAAAUCUAUUACGUUGUGAAAUAUUUGAUGAGGUUGGUAAAAAAUCUCAGAAUAACUGAUAUCUAUCACUGAAUUAACUCAAAAUACUUUGUUUUCCCUUACUAGUUUCUUAUCUGUGUUUACUUGUGUUUUGUUUUACUGCAUUUUAUAUAUGAAUCAAGAGAUCUAAUUAUAAGAGACAAGGGCAGGUUAUACUUAUUUCUACUGCUAGAGCCAGACACUUUCAAUUUUGAUAUGUUUGUAAUAACUUAUUUGUUCAUAUAUUCUUCAAAACGUAGAAUUUCCCUUGAGCCAUUAAAGACAAAAUUGAUGCCAAGAAAUUGUUGUUUUUCAUGCAUCUUUGCUCAGGAAUAUAUUCUACAAACAUGGCGUAACUUAAACCAACAGGGAAAACAAAACAAAACAAACAAACAAAAAAAAAA
This is a long non-coding RNA of Meleagris gallopavo (turkey), 2424 nucleotides long. RefSeq lists it as uncharacterized. NCBI's taxonomy places the organism in Eukaryota, Metazoa, Chordata, Aves, Galliformes, Phasianidae. The record is from RefSeq and is a predicted model, not a curated record.